This is a long non-coding RNA of Gavialis gangeticus (Gharial), 623 nucleotides long. RefSeq lists it as uncharacterized. The record is from RefSeq and is a predicted model, not a curated record. The transcript is spliced from 3 exons. NCBI's taxonomy places the organism in Eukaryota, Metazoa, Chordata, Crocodylia, Gavialidae.
UAGAAAUGCCUGGCAGGAAUGUGAUGAAGUGAUUGGUCAGGAGAUGAAAGCCACAAACCAGACAGGUGGUUGCACCGCCUGGCUGUCCUCUACCUCCAAGGAAAGCUCUUUGUGACCAGUGCUGGGGAAAGCAGGUGGGUUCAGAUCCAGGCUUGAGUGCAUUUGCAGGCAGAUCAAAACUGGGGAACUUGGUGGAUGGUACAAUACAAUAAGUUGAGCAGAUGGAUCUGAUGCACUGGGCUGCCCAAUAUACUGUUUCCUUGCUAGCAUGUGAUUUUCCUACAGCAGUGGUGCUCAACCUUUGUUGUGUGACAAAUUGUACAAUCAGAAAUGGACUGAGGGCUGCAUAGAAAAGCAUUGCUGGAGCUUAGUGAGGGAAAAGAAGGUAAAAGUGGUGGCAGCAUUUGCCCCCUUGGGCUCUGGAGCUGCAUGAAUGCAGUGGCUCCAGCCAGUGACCACACUGACAUGCUGGUGGGCUCAGAGAACUUGCUGCACAAGGAGAGCUCUAGCAGGGGCCCCACCAACAUGCCAGUGAACUCAUGAUGGUGACAGGUUAUUUAUAUGGUUCUGUGUGUGCGUGUGUGUGAGGUUUUCUGUGUGCAUGUAUGGUUUUCUAUGUGUGU